AUUGAACGCUGGCGGCAGGCUUAACACAUGCAAGUCGAACGAGUGGCGGACGGGUGAGUAAUGUCUGGGAAACUUCCCGUUGGAGGGGGAUAACUAGUGGAAACGGUCGCUAAUACCGCCUACCCUCGGAUGUACCCAGAUGGGAUGAGCGAGUAGGUGGGGUAAAGGCUCACAUGGGGGACGAUCCCUAGCGGGUCCGAGAGGAUGACCGGCAACAUGGGAACGGAGACAGGGUCCAGAAUCUUAGGGGAGGAAGCAGUGGGGAAUAUUGGACAAUGGGCGCAAGCUGGAUGCAGCCAUGCCGCGUGGAGGAAGAAGGCCUUCGGGUUGUAAAGUACUUUAAGCGGGGAGGCGGUACCCGCAGAAGAAGCACCGGCUAACUCCGUGCCAGCAGCCGCGGUAAUAC
This 406-nucleotide ribosomal RNA is filed under the name uncultured bacterium. RNAcentral describes it as "partial 16S ribosomal RNA". It matches the Rfam family "Bacterial small subunit ribosomal RNA", at positions 29 to 526 of the family's 1533-position model. The record is from RNAcentral.